GACGAACGCUGGCGGCGUGCCUAAUACAUGCAAGUAGAACGCUGAAGGAGGAGCUUGCUCUUCUGGAUGAGUUGCGAACGGGUGAGUAACGCGUAGGUAACCUGCCUGGUAGCGGGGGAUAACUAUUGGAAACGAUAGCUAAUACCGCAUAACAGUAGAUGUUGCAUGACAUUUGCUUAAAAGGUGCAAUUGCACCACUACCAGAUGGACCUGCGUUGUAUUAGCUAGUUGGUGGGGUAACGGCUCACCAAGGCGACGAUACAUAGCCGACCUGAGAGGGGGAUCGGCCACACUGGGACUGGGACACGGCCCAGACUCCUACGGGAGGGAGCAGUAGGGGAUCUUCGGCAAUGGACGGAAGUCUGACCGAGCAACGCCGCGUGAGUGAAGAAGGUUUUCGGAUCGUAAAGCUCUGUUGUAAGAGAAGAACGAGUGUGAGAGUGGAAAGUUCACACUGUGACGGUAUCUUACCAGAAAGGGACGGCUAACUACGUG
RNAcentral lists this ribosomal RNA (495 nucleotides) under uncultured bacterium. RNAcentral's name for it is "partial 16S ribosomal RNA". It matches the Rfam family "Bacterial small subunit ribosomal RNA", at positions 28 to 507 of the family's 1533-position model. The record is from RNAcentral.